RNAcentral lists this ribosomal RNA (483 nucleotides) under uncultured bacterium. RNAcentral describes it as "bacterial SSU rRNA". It matches the Rfam family "Bacterial small subunit ribosomal RNA", at positions 30 to 507 of the family's 1533-position model. The record is from RNAcentral.
AUUGAACGCUGGCGGCAUGCCUUACACAUGCAAGGUCGAAACGGGCAGGCACGGGAGCAAUCCUGGUGGCGAGUGGCGAACGGGUGAGUAAUAUAUCGGAACGUGCCCAGUCGUGGGGGAUAACGUAGCGAAAGCUACGCUAAUACCGCAUACGAUCUAUGGAUGAAANCGGGGGAUCGCAAGACCUCGCGCGAUUGGAGCGGCCGAUAUCAGAUUAGGUAGUUGGUGAGGUAAAGGCUCACCAAGCCGACGAUCUGUAGCUGGUCUGAGAGGACGACCAGCCACACUGGGACUGAGACACGGCCCAGACUCCUACGGGAGGCAGCAGUGAGGAAUAUUGGUCAAUGGGCGCAAGCCUGAACCAGCCAUGCCGCGUGCAGGAAGACGGUCCUAUGGAUUGUAAACUGCUUUUAUACAGGAAGAAACCCUCCCACGUGUGGGAGCUUGACGGUACUGUAGGAAUAAGGAUCGGCUAACUCCGUG